UACAGAGGUCUCAAGCGUUGUUCGGAUUCAUUGGGCGUAAAGGGUGUGUAGGUGGCGCGCUAAGUCGGGUGUGAAAUUUCGGAGCUUAACUCCGAAACUGCAUUCGAUACUGGCGUGCUUGAGGACUGGAGAGGAGACUGGAAUUCAUGGUGUAGCAGUGAAAUGCGUAGAGAUCAUGAGGAAGACCAGUGGCUAAGGCGGGUCUCUGGACAGUUCCUGACGCUGAGGCACGAAGGCCAGGGGAGCAAACGGG
This 253-nucleotide ribosomal RNA is filed under the name uncultured bacterium. RNAcentral describes it as "partial 16S ribosomal RNA". It matches the Rfam family "Bacterial small subunit ribosomal RNA", at positions 524 to 776 of the family's 1533-position model. The record is from RNAcentral.